UGGGGAAUAUUGCACAAUGGAGGGAACUCUGAUGCAGCGACGCCGCGUGAGUGAUGAAGGAAUUCGUUUCGUAAAACUCUGUUCUAUGGGAAGAAAAGGACUGUACCAUAGGAGAAAGCUCCGGCUAAAUACGUGCCAGCAGCCGCGGUAAUACGUAUGGAGCGAGCGUUGUCCGGAAUUAUUGGGCGUAAAGGGUGCGCAGGCGGCUUUACAAGUUGGAUGUGAAAUAUUGUGGCUCAACCACAAACGUGCAUCCAAAACUGCAAAGCUUGAGUUAAGGAGAGGUACGUGGAAUUCCUGGUGUAGCGGUGGAAUGCGUAGAUAUCAGGAGGAAUACCGGUGGCGAUGGCGACUUACUGGACUUAAACUGACGCUCAGGCACGAACGCGUGGGGAGCAAACAGG
RNAcentral lists this ribosomal RNA (404 nucleotides) under Fusobacteriota bacterium. RNAcentral describes it as "Fusobacteria bacterium partial 16S ribosomal RNA". It matches the Rfam family "Bacterial small subunit ribosomal RNA", at positions 355 to 776 of the family's 1533-position model. The record is from RNAcentral. Lineage: Bacteria; Fusobacteriati; Fusobacteriota.